RNA transcript from Solenopsis invicta (red fire ant), 1500 nucleotides. RefSeq lists it as uncharacterized. The transcript has 7 exons. The record is from RefSeq and is a predicted model, not a curated record. NCBI's taxonomy places the organism in Eukaryota, Metazoa, Arthropoda, Insecta, Hymenoptera, Formicidae.
AGUAAUAUUUACUUCAAUAUAUAAUAAAAAAUUUAUCACUUAUUCUUCUUUCAUUGAAAUUAUGUUUUUAUUUGCAAAUGACGCAAUUGUAAAGGUGGAUGUAGAAUUAAAAGAGGUAACGAAGAAUGGCAAAACGGAACUAUACGCAUCGAGAGUAAAAUCGAAGAUAGAUAUAACAAAAUACGGUUUUGAAUUUAAUAACAACGCAGAGGGCUCUCAACAACUACAUGAAGUUCUAUCCCAAACUAUAAAUGAAAACUCAAAGGAAAUUAUUAAGAUUUGUUCAUUUCAGGCAAAAACGCGUCGAAUGAGUCUAAUUUUACCAAAAUCGGAGGUAAUGGGGGUAUUCUACAUAAUUACCAAAACAUUAUUUGAAAAUGUUACUAUAAACACUUACAAUAAUACAAUAGAAAAUACACCAAAAACAAUUUCCACGAUAUCCCUACCAAAAUGUUCUUACAUUAAAUCAAAGCAACAAUGCGAAGGUAGUUUAACCCAGACAUCACAAUCGCAAAUGAAUAAGCGUGCUACAUUCUCAUCCAACUACGAAAAGACUUUAGACUCUACUCCGAAACGGAUCAAUGAUUUGAACGAAAAGCAACACAAGUCUAAAAAAUUGUCCGGCAUCUCGUCAGCUAAUUUUGGGAAAACCAAGCCUGCAAUGAUGGAGCGUCAUCAAGAAUGGCACGAUGAAUGUUACCUAUCUGACAUACAAGGCGAAUGCAGAGAUUAUGUCCAAAAGGAAUUCAAAAAAUUGUCACGACAAUUGUAUAAAAUCGAAGCGCUGCUAAAAGAGCCAAAUGCAGGACGAGGUUGUAGGACAAGAAUUAUUACCGUCGUUCCCGUUAAUAACGCUUCAGCAAUUCUUCGAAUGCGACAAUCAAUUGAAAGUGGAUGCGAACAUGAGAAAACAAUUCGAACACAUGAUAUGUCGAAUCGGAGGUUCGACAGGUAAACAAUUUAUUAGAAACAUUUUAUCACAUAUAAUGUGUAAUGAAAUAGGGACCCAAAUAUCAUGGACAGACCAAAAGAGUGGUGUACGUUUUAAAUCCACAUCCUUGUCCAAACUAAUAAUCGAUUCUGUGAUGAAAUGGUCACCAGCGUCACCCGUGCAGAACUAGAAGCUGCCAUGCAAGAACGGCUCCGUCGCUCAGGUGACAGGAUCAGAAGUACGAUUAAUAAUAAUAAAAUGUUUAUUAAUCAGUAAAACAAAGUUAUUUUACUGAUUAAUACACUUUUACUGGAAGUCUUCCAUGAGAAACUUUGCGAAACAUGUUUUGUAUCAACAUCGUGUCUUGUCGUUUCAAAAAGGAAUGGAACCGUUGACAUUACUUAUGAUUACGUGACGCGGCACUGGUUUUUAGAAUGUCAAGGAAAUCCAGUGAUAGUCUUAAUUUGUAACAUCUAUGCUGUAGGUUGAUCUUACGGAUAUACAGAAUGUCCCAGACCAAUGUAUAAAAAUUAUUACGAUGAAGUAGAAGGGAUCGAGAUAAAUCAAAA